UCUUUCAGUAAUGUUUUAUAGUUUUCAGUGGACAAACCUUUCACUUCCUUAGUUAAAUUUAUUCCUAGGUAUAGGUAUUGUAUUCUUUAGGAUGCUACUGAAAGUGGAAUUAUUUUUCUUACUUUCAUUUUAGGAUUUUUUAAUCGCUGGUGGAUAGAAACACAGCUGAUUUGAUCACUUCAUCUGUGAAUAGGGAUGUAGUAGCCUCCCUCAUCAGCAGAAGAUAUGUUCCACGACCCCCAGAGUGGUGGCUCAUGCC
This is a long non-coding RNA of Cercocebus atys (sooty mangabey), 259 nucleotides long. RefSeq lists it as uncharacterized. The record is from RefSeq and is a predicted model, not a curated record. The transcript is spliced from 3 exons. Lineage: Eukaryota; Metazoa; Chordata; Mammalia; Primates; Cercopithecidae.